This 306-nucleotide ribosomal RNA is filed under the name Triticum aestivum (bread wheat). RNAcentral's name for it is "partial small subunit ribosomal RNA". The record is from RNAcentral. Lineage: Eukaryota; Viridiplantae; Streptophyta; Magnoliopsida; Poales; Poaceae.
AUGAAUCUAGCCCGUUCUGCUGGAUGUAGCAAGAUUGAAAUCAACUCCGACAGUGUAGAGGUGGUUGAAGCUUUAAAAGAGGGCAAUUCUUCUUCAGUUGCUAGUGCUAUAUUCGAUGAUUGUUACUUCAUGUCAUUAGAUUUCAAUCAAGUCAUUUAUGAACAUUGUAAUAGAGAGAGCAAUCAAGUAGCUCACGAAUUGGCUAGGUUAGCUAAGUUUUCUCCUCCUAGUUGUUGGAUGGAUACUGCCCCUAGUGCGGUUAUUCCCUUUCUUGUAAGCGAUGCCACUAUUUUGAUCAAUGAAUAA